CCUGGGUGGGGAGAGCCCCUGGAGAAGGGAAUGGCAACCCACUACAGAAUUCUUGCCUGGAGAAUUCCAUGGAUAGAGGAGCCUGGAGGGCUACAGUUCAUGGGAUUGCAAAGAGCCAGCAGGACUGAGCCACUAACAACACAACUUCCUCAGAUUCAAGGGACCACAGACCUCAUCCAAGUUAAAGUGCUCCCCUGGGGGGAGCCCCAGGAGUUCAUUUCUUCAUUCCACAGAUGUUCAUUGAGUGUCUCCUGUGCGCUGAGUACUGUUCUGGGCUUUGAGGUCAUUGCAUAACAGUGCAGAGAGGACCCAGGACUCUUGUGGCUGGCUCAGUCACAGAUGCUUUCCACCCUUGUAGUGCUCCAGGAUUGACAGUCCUUUCAGUGUCGCAUGGAGUAGACAGUUCCUCAAAGAAUUAUAAAGAGGGUUGGAGACUUGGAACACAGCAAAUGCAGAAGGAGCUGAGACCAGAAAACAAGCCUCGGAGACGAUGAACUUCCCAAUGGCACUGCAGGUUAUGCCUACUUGAGGGCGCUGGUGUCCACUUCCCUUGUCUGCCAAGAUGCCCAGAGCUAAGUUUAGCACAAAAGCAAUCACUACUCCUCACUUCAAUUUCAGUUAUUAUUUGUCUUUCUAGA
Long non-coding RNA from Bos taurus (domestic cattle), 638 nucleotides. The record is from Ensembl. NCBI's taxonomy places the organism in Eukaryota, Metazoa, Chordata, Mammalia, Artiodactyla, Bovidae.